Non-coding RNA from Nomia melanderi (Alkali bee), 2568 nucleotides. Lineage: Eukaryota; Metazoa; Arthropoda; Insecta; Hymenoptera; Halictidae. The record is from RefSeq and is a predicted model, not a curated record.
AGUUCAGUAGGUCGAUAUCGUUCCACGAAUACCGUGCGGAAAUCAAAUUUGGGAAGCAAUUUCGUAUUGAUUUCAGUCUGUCGCCUGAAUCGACAGGCGGGUUAAACAAUGAUGAUCAGAGUCGUUGCAUGUCAUCAGCAUUCGUUAACAAAAUUUUGCAUCACGGUUGUCUGGCCCUGUCGAUAAUUCGACGUUCAACCGUAAACUGUCGAUACUCGCGUAAGAAGUCUCUGGGGAAUUUUUUUUCCUCGUUAAUUGUGUCCAUGUUUCCACGAGGACAGACAGUAAUAAUUGGUAAACGAAGAGACUAGGCCGGAAUUAAGGUCGUACGUUUGCAUUUGAAGUUUUCGGGUCGUCGUUCCUCUUGUCAGGAGAAUCUAUACUGAUCGACGAAACUGGGACAAGGUUGUAUUUAUCGGUCACCCGUUAUACACGAUACGCCGAGAUUCUUCGGUUCCAUUCUGGUCGCAAAUUAUCCGCUGUGACUGGCGUUAUAAUUGCGGGCACCUCUCACGAAUUCCUUUAACACUAGGUUUACAUUUAUCGUACAGUUUAUUCUCUGUUUCUAGGAAGAUUCAAGAAGUUUCUAGAAGAAUCUUCAGGGUUAAAAGUACCAUUAGGAAGCAUAAUCACAUAAUUGAAUCAAUUAAAAUCCAAACAUUUGUAUAUUGAGGAACGAAGCUAUUUUAUUCUAAUAUACAAAGUUCAAUAUUGAUUAGUGUCAAAUCUAGUGGUGACUGAGUCACCUGAAUAAAGGGUUAAAAGUAUCAUUAGGAAGCAUAAUCACAUAAUUGAAUCAAUUAAAAUCCAAACAUCUGUACAUUGAGGAACGAAGCUAUUUUAUUCUAUUAUACAAAGUUCAAUAUUAAAUAGUGUCAAAUCUAGUGGUGACUGUCACCUGAAUGCAAAGGGGUAAAAGUAUCAUUAGGAAGCAUAAUCUCAUAAUUGGAUCAAUUAAAAUCCAAACAUUUGCCAAGUAAUGUUCAUAAAAUUCAUGAGUCACGUUGACUGAUUGUAAAUCUAGUGUUAAUACGUUUCCUGGAGAUUCCAAUUUUAUUGGAAGAUAAAAUUAUUCCUUGAAACAGAAGAAAUUAUUGUUAUUAUUGAGAAGGAAUUAUUCGUAUCACUGAGUGAAAUGUUCUAGAAUUAAAUAAUCUGUACUCCCCCGGUUCUAGUAACUUUUAGGAAACUAAUUUCAGAUCGGCGUGCUUGGAAAUAGGAAGUUACACGGAAAACCAUAGGGAGAGAUUAAUUCUACGUUAGCAACGACGCAAAGAAGGAAUGUUAUAAAUAUAAAAUCUCUCGUCGCGAACCGAGCGAGCGCACGAUGCACCGAUUCCAUGUUACCAUGGACGAGCCGCUUCGCGAUGUGAUUUGAAUGAGAAGAACGUGUUCGACCGGUGCAUGUAAGGGAAAAGAAAAUGCAAUGAGGUCAGAGACACUCUAACAUCAGCAAUUAAGGAUUAAGGCAGAUUCUCGUCACCGAUUCGUCGGCGUUUCAAAAACGACCGGCAAUGAGUCAUACCGAAUUAUCGCUCCGUCGUAACCCAAUUAAAAAUCAUUCCAUUUAAAAAGGUACUUGACACAGUAACGGGUUCAUCGAAUGUUGCUAUUUUUACACUCGCCGAGAGAACGGUAGGAUCUCUCUCACUGGAUCGUAUCAGAACGAGUGAAGAGAGUGUCGCACACCUCUGCGCAGGGAGCAAGAAGAUUUUACGACUCCGCAAACCGAGCGCUUCACGCGCUAGCUUAAUCGGCCCAGCGAGAACCGCGGUAAAUACUAGAGAAUCUCGUCUCUCCGGACUUAAUAGAGAGACAAACGCGUCUCGUGACGGAUAAUUGCGUUCCUCCACGCCGGGCCGGAUCGGUAAUUAUUGAAUUAUGUCCCCUAACCGAUUCUAAUCUGUCAGACCCGUGAACAUUCGACUUAGCAGCCGCCUUUCAUCGAGCCAGGGAGUGUCCUUCCUACCUUUGCCCCCUCGCCCGACAAUUGUAAGAGAGUCGAAGGUCAACAGUAUGCUAAUUCAUUAGAAAAAUAAGAAAUUCAAAUUCGAUUGAACCUCCUGCCGCGACGGGUGUCUCGGCACCUUUCUAAUUACCGAAUCAAUGUCAAUAACCGGCGAACUCUUCAAGGAUCCAUCCUUGAGGCCCACGGAGACCUGAAAAUCCUCCAACGACAUUCACCGUCAGGAUGAUCCGAAGACAUUACAAUUCAUACUAGCAACAUGAACACUCCAUGGACCAGCCAGCAUCAUCCUUCUCCUUAUCAGUUAAUGUCCAACAUCCAAGACCAUUGAUAACGUUCCUGGAAGAUUAGAGGGACAUCCAAUAGCACAGCGUUCUGGAGGACAGACAAUUCAAAGAAUUGGACAUCAUACUAGAAACAUGAACACUCCAUGGACCAGCCACCAACAUGCUUAUCACAAGUUAAUCUCGACCAGCAUCCAAGACCAUUGAUAACGUUCCUGGAAGAUUCGAGGGACAUCCAAUAGCACAGCGUUCUGGAGGACAGAGGGCACACAGAAUUUUCCGCUGGAAAACGAGGAGGGCCGAAGGCCGAAAGAGGGU